RNAcentral lists this ribosomal RNA (467 nucleotides) under uncultured bacterium. RNAcentral describes it as "partial 16S ribosomal RNA". It matches the Rfam family "Bacterial small subunit ribosomal RNA", at positions 29 to 507 of the family's 1533-position model. The record is from RNAcentral.
ACGAACGCUGGCGGCGUGCUUAACACAUGCAAGUCGAACGGAAAGGCCCUGCUUUUGUGGGGUGCUCGAGUGGCGAACGGGUGAGUAACACGUGGGUAACCUGCCCUUGACUUUGGGAUAACUUCAUGAAACUGGGGCUAAUACCGGAUAGGAGCUCCUGCUGCAUGGUGGGGGUUGGAAAGUUUCGGCGGUUGGGGAUGGACUCGCGGCUUAUCAGCUUGUUGGUGGGGUAGUGGCUUACCAAGGCUUUGACGGGUAGCCGGCCUGAGAGGGUGACCGGCCACAUUGGGACUGAGAUACGGCCCAGACUCCUACGGGAGGCAGCAGUGGGGAAUAUUGCACAAUGGGCGGAAGCCUGAUGCAGCAACGCCGCGUGCGGGAUGACGGCCUUCGGGUUGUAAACCGCUUUCGCCUGUGACGAAGCGUGAGUGACGGUAAUGGGUAAAGAAGCACCGGCUAACUACGUG